GACAAUUCUCAAAUAGCGCAUGGAUAAAUAGAUAAUCAUUAUAUAUUGUAAAGACAUAAUUAUAAAGAAUAUCUACAAAAUUAAGUAGAAUGACGCCAACAGCGUUUUGAACGUGAGUCGGACAUUUAAGGUUAAGGUUAGUAUCAAAGUAAAAGCAGUCGUAAGUACAUGGAAGAAUUUAAUCUUGCACAAAGAAAUGUAGUUUUUCAUUUUUUUCGUUUUAAGUAAAAAUUAUCUUAGCAAGGAGUAAUCUCCUCGAGGAAUAAUCUUAAAACACGUUCAUUUACUCGAAACAAGUUCAUUCUAUUAUCUCUAUCGAAACAGUCACUCUAUUCUGUGUGUAAUGGCGUAAAGCGUACAUAUGCCCAAUACAUCGUUUCGUGCAUGCAACUGAAAAAUAUUUCUACAUCCAGUUUAACUAAUAGCUACUUAAAACAACUUACAACUGUUUUAUCAAGCCGUGAAUAUUAUAUCUAAACUGUAUGAAAUACACGCGACGCUAAUUGUGAGUAUAUUUUCAUUCUAGCACUCGUCAGUUCCACGAACGUCGUCGAAUGACCCUGUGUUGUAGUUUGUUCCUUUUUUAGCCACGCGAUCGCCUUAAGGUAUCGCCUGCGUGACGUAUUAACUCCCCCUCCUCUGCCGCGUAUUGCUCGCUAGUCCGGAAACAGCGUCGCUCGCAUACGCACCCGUCGAAAGUGCCAUCGCGAUCCUUGGAAACGCGUCGGAUCAAUUAAACGGCACAAUUUCAUUCAAUCGGAUCAAUCAAAUGACAGAAGCCAUACGUAACAAUAACGUCGUGAUACGCGUAGCGUAAUUAGCAGUUGUGUCCCUCGUAACAUAGUACACGUUUCCUCGCGUGACGCUCGAUCAGUGAAGUAAGGUUAUUGUCUGAUCGAGGCGGUUUUCAAAGGCGUGAAGUUGCCUCGCUUCGAAUCUUUCCUGCGUCGUCAUGCGCCAUAUUAAGCGAACGCGAGUAUCGUUCGGACACUCGAAAUAUCACAAUGCUGUAUGUACAAUACAAAGCGACGUGCCGUUCACCGUGUUGCGUUAAUUACGUACACGGUCGUGCGUGGUCCGAGAUUUUCGCGUCGUCGUACACCUCGUGUAACCUAAACGCGAACAAGAACGUCGCGAGGGCACCCGGGGUGGCGGAGUGACGGGGUGUUACGUCCGUCGUCGCGUUUCGCGUUUUGUGUAUAUCCGUUCAUAGUGCCGAGAGUCGAGAGUGCCGGACAAAACAGCGUAUCGCGUUGUUUAGCGUGUACACACGGGUGUAAUUAGUUUCCUAACGACGCGCGUCGCGUUCGUGUGAGUAAACACACCGAGAAGAAGGGGGAGGAGUAGCUAUCGGAUGACAAAGAAGCGAAGGACGACAUUCAAUGACAAUCCAACUUUACAGCUGUGGUCUGCAUAAUCGGACGACAUUCAAUGACAAUCCAACAUUACAGCUGUGGUCUACAUAAUUGGACGACAUUCAAUGACAAUCCGACACUACAUCCAACAUUACAGCUGUGGUCUGCAUAAUCGGUGCCAUCUCGAAGAAAGCUCGAUGCUGUAACAGAUCGAUCGACGACUGAACACUGUAAUCUUUGCGAUAUUGCCCACCGGGCAAACUUGUUUACCAUAUGUUAAAACAUCUACUGUCGACAAGGAAGAUAUUUCAUGAUAAACCUCGAUCGACAACAAAGUAAAUUACACUCCUAAUUGAAUUAUCAACGAAUAUGCAGUUAAAAAAUCAUCAGAAAAUUAAUAAUUUUAAGAAAAAAAUUUUUUUAAUUCUAUGAAUGCUAAUUAGAGACAAUUUUUGAUAUUUUUUUAAUGCGUAUCCUUUUAUCUUUCCUUAAAAUUUUGUAUAUUUUACACGAAAAGAGAAAAGCUGAUGUGGAAACAUAAGAACGAGACAUUGAACGGCAGACAAAAUUAGAAAAAAUUGAUAAAGUAAAAUCGAUAGAACAGAAUGUGAGAGGAAAGAAAUGCCAAGCAGAAAAAUGAUAAAUUGGCAAAUUAAAGAGGGGUUGAACUGUCCAGUCACGAAAGCGGAUGGUCGAUGUUUUGAAAGGACGAAAGACUGGCCAGCGGCUGGACAAUGGGUGCAAAACAGGAUUUAAGGAUACUGAUAGCGCCCUACCGUGAAUCCGAAUUGGAUCCGUAUUAGCCACAGUAGCACAAAGGGUAGCAAAUCCGACCCCAUCCUUGUAUAUCAUCGGCUAUCGGGACUGAGUUAAAGUGCAAUACCGGCCGGUUGCUGUUGUUUAGGAGUUGCCAAAAGAAUGACAAAAUUUCUAUUUUCUUUAUUGUAAAUCUGUUAACCUUGGUACGAUGUAUCAAAAAAAUAAUAUUUUCCUUAAUAUUUAUAAAUUUUUUUAUUUUAACACAAUUGCAAAAAGAUAAAA
Long non-coding RNA from Monomorium pharaonis (pharaoh ant), 2396 nucleotides. RefSeq lists it as uncharacterized. The transcript is spliced from 6 exons. The record is from RefSeq and is a predicted model, not a curated record. NCBI's taxonomy places the organism in Eukaryota, Metazoa, Arthropoda, Insecta, Hymenoptera, Formicidae.